This 462-nucleotide ribosomal RNA is filed under the name Leifsonia sp. SNMS33. RNAcentral describes it as "bacterial SSU rRNA". It matches the Rfam family "Bacterial small subunit ribosomal RNA", at positions 931 to 1393 of the family's 1533-position model. The record is from RNAcentral. Lineage: Bacteria; Bacillati; Actinomycetota; Actinomycetes; Micrococcales; Microbacteriaceae.
AGSCCGRCCWGCGGAUUAUUCGAUGCAACGCGAAGAACCUUACCAAGGCUUGACAUACACGAGAACGGGCCMKAAAUGGUCAACUCUUUGGACACUCGUGAACAGGUGGUGCAUGGUUGUCGUCAGCUCGUGUCGUGAGAUGUUGGGUUAAGUCCCGCAACGAGCGCAACCCUCGUUCUAUGUUGCCAGCGCGUAAUGGCGGGAACUCAUAGGAGACUGCCGGGGUCAACUCGGAGGAAGGUGGGGAUGACGUCAAAUCAUCAUGCCCCUUAUGUCUUGGGCUUCACGCAUGCUACAAUGGCCGGUACAAAGGGCUGCAAUACCGUAAGGUGGAGCGAAUCCCAAAAAGCCGGUCUCAGUUCGGAUUGAGGUCUGCAACUCGACCUCAUGAAGUCGGAGUCGCUAGUAAUCGCAGAUCAGCAACGCUGCGGUGUAUAYKUUCCCGGGCCUUGUACACACMGA